GCCUUACACAUGCAAGUCGAACGGCAGCAUGAUCUAGCUUGCUAGAUUGAUGGCGAGUGGCGAACGGGUGAGUAAUACAUCGGAACGUGCCCUGUAGUGGGGGAUAACUAGUCGAAAGAUUAGCUAAUACCGCAUACGACCUGAGGGUGAAAGUGGGGGACCGCAAGGCCUCAUGCUAUAGGAGCGGCCGAUGUCUGAUUAGCUAGUUGGUGAGGUAAAGGCUCACCAAGGCGACGAUCAGUAGCUGGUCUGAGAGGACGAUCAGCCACACUGGGACUGAGACACGGCCCAGACUCCUACGGGAGGCAGCAGUGGGGAAUUUUGGACAAUGGGGGCAACCCUGAUCCAGCAAUGCCGCGUGUGUGAGGAAGGCCUUCGGGUUGUAAAGCACUUUUGUCCGGAAAGAAAUCGCACUUACUAAUAUUAGGUGUGGAUGACGGUACCGGAAGAAUAAGGACCGGCUAACUACGUGCCAGCAGCCGCGGUAAUACGUAGGGUCCAAGCGUUAAUCGGAAUUACUGGGCGUAAAGCGUGCGCAGGCGGUUGUGCAAGACCGAUGUGAAAUCCCCGGGCUUAACCUGGGAAUUGCAUUGGUGACUGCACGGCUAGAGUGUGUCA
RNAcentral lists this ribosomal RNA (618 nucleotides) under uncultured Ralstonia sp. Its description in RNAcentral is "bacterial SSU rRNA". It matches the Rfam family "Bacterial small subunit ribosomal RNA", at positions 46 to 653 of the family's 1533-position model. The record is from RNAcentral. Lineage: Bacteria; Pseudomonadati; Pseudomonadota; Betaproteobacteria; Burkholderiales; Burkholderiaceae.